RNAcentral lists this ribosomal RNA (484 nucleotides) under uncultured bacterium. RNAcentral describes it as "partial 16S ribosomal RNA". It matches the Rfam family "Bacterial small subunit ribosomal RNA", at positions 30 to 507 of the family's 1533-position model. The record is from RNAcentral.
AUUGAACGCUGGCGGCAGGCCUAACACAUGCAAGUCGAGCGGAUGAAGGGAGCUUGCUCCUGGAUUCAGCGGCGGACGGGUGAGUAAUGCCUAGGAAUCUGCCUGGUAGUGGGGGAUAACGUCCGGAAACGGGCGCUAAUACCGCAUACGUCCUGAGGGAGAAAGUGGGGGAUCUUCGGACCUCACGCUAUCAGAUGAGCCUAGGUCGGAUUAGCUAGUUGCUGGGGUAAAGGCCUACCAAGGCGACGAUCCGUAACUGGUCUGAGAGGAUGAUCAGUCACACUGGAACUGAGACACGGUCCAGACUCCUACGGGAGGCAGCAGUGGGGAAUAUUGGACAAUGGGCGAAAGCCUGAUCCAGCCAUGCCGCGUGUGUGAAGAAGGUCUUCGGAUUGUAAAGCACUUUAAGUUGGGAGGAAGGGCAGAAAGUUAAUACCUUGCUGUUUUGACGUUACCAACAGAAUAAGCACCGGCUAACUUCGUG